CAGAGAGAAGAAGAGAGUUAGAACAAUUACAGGAUAAUUGAGAGCAAAAGAGAGUUAGAAACCUUUACCUUUCAGUAGCAGUAACCUGGAAACCCACCAAUUGAGAGCAAUCGAAAGAGUGACACAGAGAAAAAGAAAAGAAAAAGGUCGACUGGUUGAGAAGGCAAAUCGAAAGAGUGACUGGUUGUAAAGAAAAAGAAAAGAAAAGGUUCAGAGACAGAGGAAGAGGCGAAGGAAUGGGGAAGCCAAUCGGGAGGCGAAGGUAGAACGA
Molecule: long non-coding RNA, 271 nt
Filed under: Gossypium raimondii (Peruvian cotton)
Lineage: Eukaryota; Viridiplantae; Streptophyta; Magnoliopsida; Malvales; Malvaceae
Description: long non-coding RNA (GRAI_LNC010230)
Source: RNAcentral